Medicago truncatula (barrel medic) is the source of this 422-nucleotide long non-coding RNA. RefSeq lists it as uncharacterized. The transcript has 2 exons. Lineage: Eukaryota; Viridiplantae; Streptophyta; Magnoliopsida; Fabales; Fabaceae. The record is from RefSeq and is a predicted model, not a curated record.
AAAAAAACUUCAAUUUAUUUUAUGGAUAGGACGAAAAAUAUGGCUCAAAUUCUUAAAUUUAUUUAUGCUUUUAUAAUCCUUCUAUCUUUAUUUUUUGUUGUAACCAAUAGUAGUAGUUUUACCCGCUGCAGAAAUGAUGUUGAAUGUCCACAAUAUUCUUGUUUACGUGGUCUAAAAAUGAAGUGCAUUUGUUUCAAAUGUAUGUGUGUGUGAGUAACAAUUAUAAGUUGAAAAAUUCAUUCAAAAAAAAAAAUUAUAAGUUGAAAAAUAAUUUUAUGUUACUUAAUAAUUUUAGUCUAUUCGUGAACAUCCGAUGAAAUAAGUGUAUCGUUUUAUUUGUACUUAGUUUAGUAAUCUUGGUACUUUUUAAUUUUCCUCAUAAUUUCAUUUGUAUUUCUAUGAUAUUUCAAUUCCUUUAUCAA